UGGGGAAUUGUUCACAAUGGGCGCAAGCCUGAUGACGCAACGCCGCGUGGAGGAUGAAGGUCUUCGGAUUGUAAACUCCUGUUGCUCGGGACGAAAAGCCUCGACCUAACACGUCGAGGUCUGACGGUACCGAGUGAGGAAGCCCCGGCUAACUCUGUGCCAGCAGCCGCGGUAAUACAGAGGGGGCAAGCGUUGUUCGGAAUUACUGGGCGUAAAGGGCGCGUAGGCGGCCCGCUAAGUCGAACGUGAAAUCCCCGAGCUCAACUCGGGAACUGCGUCCGAUACUGGCGGGCUUGAAUCCGGGAGAGGGAUGCGGAAUUCCAGGUGUAGCGGUGAAAUGCGUAGAUAUCUGGAGGAACACCGGUGGCGAAGGCGGCAUCCUGGACCGGCAUUGACGCUGAGGCGCGAAAGCUAGGGGAGCAAACGG
Molecule: ribosomal RNA, 427 nt
Filed under: uncultured bacterium
Lineage: Bacteria
Description: bacterial SSU rRNA
Rfam family: Bacterial small subunit ribosomal RNA
Source: RNAcentral